Molecule: ribosomal RNA, 782 nt
Filed under: uncultured bacterium
Lineage: Bacteria
Description: bacterial SSU rRNA
Rfam family: Bacterial small subunit ribosomal RNA
Source: RNAcentral
ACGCUGGCGGCGUGCCUAAUACAUGCAAGUCGAACGCACUGACGGAGAACUUGUUCUCUUGACGUGAGUGGCGCACGGGUGAGUAACACGUGGGAAACCUACCCUUCAGCGGGGGAUAACCAUCGGAAACGAUGACUAAUACCGCAUAGACGACAGAACCGCCUGGUUCAAUCGGGAAAGACGGCUUCGGCUGUCACUGAAGGAUGGUCCCGCGCUGCAUUAGCUAGUUGGUAAGGUAACGGCUUACCAAGGCGAUGAUGCAUAGCCGACCUGAGAGGGUGAUCGGCCACAUUGGGACUGAGGCACGGCCCAAACUCCUACGGGAGGCAGCAGUAGGGAAUCUUCCGCAAUGGACGCAAGUCUGACGGAGCAACGCCGCGUGUGUGAAGAAGGUUUUCGGAUCGUAAAGCACUGUUAUUAGAGAAGAACAGCCGAUAGGGUAACUGUUAUCGGUUUGACGGUAUCUAACCAGAAAGUGACGGCUAACUACGUGCCAGCGGCCGCGGUAAUACGUAGGUCACAAGCGUUGUCCGGAUUUAUUGGGCGUAAAGGGAGCGCAGGCGGUUUGUUAAGUCUGAUGUGAAAGCCCACGGCUCAACCGUGGAACGGCAUUGGAAACUGGCAAACUUGAGUAUAGAAGAGGAAAGUGGAAUUCCAUGUGUAGCGGUGAAAUGCGUAGAUAUAUGGAGGAACACCAGUGGCGAAGGCGACUUUCUGGUCUAUAACUGACGCUGAGGCUCGAAAGCGUGGGGAGCGAACAGGAUUAGAUACCCUGGUAGUCC